AAAUUAGCUAUCUAGAAAACUGUAAGUUAGAGAGAAUGCAAAGUAAAAAGAUUGAGAUAGUUCAUAUGGAACUCAUUAGACCUAUUACUCCCACUCCCAAUCACUUAAGAUGCUUCAAAUUAUCUUAUUUGGAUCAAAUGACGUUUUCCACUUCUGUUCCUUUAGCUCUAUUUUAUCCAUCUCCAUCAUCAGCUUUCUCUUAUUUGGAUCAAAUGGCAUUUUCCACUUCUGUUCCUUUAGCUCUAUUUUAUCCAUCUCCAUCCUCAGCUGGUGAUGAUCAAUCCUAUUCAUAUGAGCAAUCAAGGACAAUCAAUUCGUCAAGAUUACUUGUUUUGAAGAAAUCUUUGUCUGAAACUCUAGCUCGCUUUUACCCUUUUGCAGGACGAGUUGAAGAAAACUCAAUUGAAUGCAAUGACAAUGGUGUACCCUUCUACGAGGCUUUUGCCCAUAAAUAUCGGCUGGAAAACGUUGUUAGAAAGCCCAUUGAGGAUGUAGAUUUUCUUCCCCAUGUUGAUCAAAAGUGGUCAUGGUUCAAUCAUGAAACUUUUCCACUACUUGUUCAAGUCACCUUUUUCGAGUGCGCAGGUAUUGUUGAACAUUUACCGCUAGAGAGAGCAUAAUAUUUACAUAAUUAUGUCUAAAACAUGUUUCUGACCAUGUGUGCAUCUAAUUCUUUUUUAUUGACCAAGCACUUGCCUAGAAGAGUAUACUGGGUAGUUGUUGUUGCAGGACGAGUUGAAGAAAACUCAAUUGAAUGCAAUGACAAUGGUGUCUAAAACAUGUUUUGUGAUCAUGUGUGCAUCUAAUUCUUUUUAAUUGACCAAGCACUUGCCUAGAGAUCCUUUUAUAGUGGAUGGUGAUGACACUUGUGACCAAGACAUUUGUCUACUCCAAAUUAUAUUGAAUUGUGUGAAAGAUUGAUAAAAUUCUACCAUGCACUAACGGUAAAAAAUAUAUUGAUAAAAAUGUUGCGGCUAUUGAUUUAUGUGAUUCUCACAAAAUCGCUAAAUUGUAUCUAAAUCAUUAAUUAUGUCUAAAUUAUGUUCCUAAUCACGUGCGUAACUGAUUCUUUAUUUCAAGUGCCUGCAGAUCGUUAUAUAGCAGAUCGUUAUAUAGUGGGUGUGGUAACACUUGAAAGAAACCAAAACUUCUGCCUAAUUUAUUCGAACGAUAUUGAAAUGUGUGAUUAUUUUAUCUUGAAACUAAAGUAGUUGAAAAGAGCAUGAUAUUAUUUAGAGUUUAAGUUCUACCAUGCUCUUAUGGUAAAAAUUAUAAUGAUAAACAUUGCUCCCUCUAGUCCAAUAUAAAUAAUUUUUUGGUCUUUUUUGUGGUCCAGAAUAAGUGAUUUUUUCAGAUUUCAAGAAUAAAUUAAUUAUUUUUUCCUACAUUAUUCUUGGAAUAAAUAAUGUUAGAAUAUGUGUUAGGAGUGUUUAUGUAAGAUAGUAAAGGUAAUAUGGUCAAUUGUAUUACUAAUUAAUACUAAAUUAAUCGGUAUAAAAAUAUCCAAAAAAAUUAUUUAUUUUGGACCGAAGGGAGUCAUUAAUAAUAUGAUAAAAAUAGUAACUAACUUACUAUCAAAGGAUAAAAUUUAUUGAUAGUGUUAAAAAAGUCAUUAUCCUUGUAUUUAAUUUAUUAUGUCCUUCAAUAGGUAUGGCAAUUGGUGUAUGUGCUUCUCACAAAAUCGCUGACAUUGCCACGUUGUCAACCCUCAUCAAUGCGUGGGCAGUCAUUGCUCGAACCAACCCUAGUAGUUCAUGCGUGGACAUUCCAGAAUUCGUUGCUGCUUCAAAAUUUUUACCAGAACCUAUUCCUCAUGUUUCUCCCAACUGGUCUAAAAUAGUUGAAUCCAUAGUCUCCGUUGAUAAUCAACAUGGAACUAAAUUUUUUUCCUUUGAUGCAUCUACUAUAGCGUCACUCAAGGCUAACGUCGUGAGCGACGACGCUGUGCCAAAGCCCACACGCGUCGAAGUAGUGAUUUUUCCUUUGAUGAAUCUACCAUAGCGUCACUCAAGGCUAACGUCGUGAGCGACGACACUGUGCCAAAGCCCACACGCGUCGAGGUAGUGUCCACCAUGAUGUGGAAGUGUUUCAUGACAAUAUUAAAAAAAACAAGAACAUCGUCGCAGUUGUUGUACAAUGUCAAUAUACGAAAGCGGCUUGUCCCCCCCUUGCCUAAUCACUGUGUGGGAAACAGUGUUGCAACGAUCACAACAUACAAAGGCGAGGACGAUGGUUGUGAUUUAUCCACCCUUGUUUCUUGUAUUAGAAAAGGAAUUUCAGAAUUGUGUUCCAAAUUUGUGGAUAAAUCGAGACAAGA
RNAcentral lists this long non-coding RNA (2317 nucleotides) under Nicotiana benthamiana. Its description in RNAcentral is "long non-coding RNA (NBEN_LNC023602)". Lineage: Eukaryota; Viridiplantae; Streptophyta; Magnoliopsida; Solanales; Solanaceae. The record is from RNAcentral.